Molecule: transfer RNA, 66 nt
Filed under: Potomida littoralis
Lineage: Eukaryota; Metazoa; Mollusca; Bivalvia; Unionida; Unionidae
Description: tRNA-Glu
Source: RNAcentral
GCUGACUAAGUGUUUAUUCGCACAUUGACUUUUCACGUCAAAGGGGCAUACCAAAUGCAUUCAGCU